RNAcentral lists this ribosomal RNA (459 nucleotides) under uncultured bacterium. RNAcentral's name for it is "partial 16S ribosomal RNA". It matches the Rfam family "Bacterial small subunit ribosomal RNA", at positions 338 to 795 of the family's 1533-position model. The record is from RNAcentral.
CCUACGGGAGGCAGCAGUGAGGAAUAUUGGUCAAUGGGCCCGAGCCUGAACCAGCCAAGUCGCGUGAGGGAAGACGGUCCUAUGGAUUGUAAACCUCUUUUGUCGGGGAGCAAAAGACGCCACGCGUGGCGUUCCGAGAGUACCCGAAGAAAAAGCAUAGGCUAACUCCGUGCCAGCAGCCGCGGUACUACGGAGGAUGCGAGCGUUAUCCGGAUUGAUUGGGUGUAAGGGGUGCGCAGGCGGAAGAUCAAGUCAGCGGUAAAAUUGAGAGGCUCAACCUCUUCGAGCCGUUGAAACUGGUUUUCUUGAGUGAGUGAGAAGUAGGCGGAAUUCGUGGUGUAGCGGUGAAAUGCAUAGAUAUCACGCAGAACUCCGAUUGCGAAGGCAGCAUACCGGCGCUCAACUGACGCUCAUGCACGAAAGUGUGGGUAUCGAACAGGAUUAGAUACCCCAGUAGUC